RNAcentral lists this ribosomal RNA (253 nucleotides) under uncultured bacterium. RNAcentral's name for it is "partial 16S ribosomal RNA". It matches the Rfam family "Bacterial small subunit ribosomal RNA", at positions 524 to 776 of the family's 1533-position model. The record is from RNAcentral.
UACGGGGGGGGCAAGCGUUGUUCGGAAUUACUGGGCGUAAAGGGCGCGUAGGCGGGUGACCAAGUCCGGGGUGAAAUCCUUCGGCUCAACCGGAGAACUGCCUUGGAUACUGGUCGUCUCGAGGGAGGUAGGGGUCUGUGGAACUGAUGGUGGAGCGGUGAAAUGCGUUGAUAUCAUCAGGAACGCCGGUGGCGAAAGCGACGGACUGGACCUUCACUGACGCUGAGGCGCGAAAGCUAGGGGAGCAAACGGG